UUGUCGUAUGCAAUUCAUCCAAUUCAAUAACUUAAGGAAAAUCUGAGGGUUAAUUAGUGCAAUUCACGGUUAAAAUGGGGUGUUGGGAAUUCAUGGUUUAUUGAGAAGCAAUUGGAAAUCGUUUUGUAUGCAAGUGUGACAUGUGUGGAGAAGAACCCCUUAGCUAGCUUUCCAUCCAUUCACUUUUCUCAAAUUCGUUUUAGAAUCUGUUCAAUUUACAAGUUUUGUUUUUGUUUUCAAUUUUCGUCAAAACCAAUUCCCCAUUUAUUUUAAAGUGUUGGAUUAAGUAGAAAUUAAUUUAGUUUGUGUUUUUAAGGGUCUGGAGUCAAGUCAUAACCCAAUUUCGUCCAAUUUAGUGUUAGGUGUUCAAAACUGCCCAGAAAGUGUUUUUAAGGCAGUUUUGAGUGUUGAUUUGCUGUUUUGAGUCUUUUGGUUUGUUUUAGUGUUUUAUAGUUUAGUUUUGCAUUUUUUGAGUCUAGUUUAGUGUUUUAGACUUUGUUUUUACGUUUGAGUCAGUUUCAAGUGAUUUGGCAAUCCCUCCUAAUCCCCGGCCUAGAACGAUCCCUACUUACAUACUUUGCUACAAUUGAUAAAAAGAGGGUUUAAUUUGUGUGCUUAUAUAUUUCGCAUCAAGUACCGUAAAGUGGAUUGAAAAUCAUACCAUUUAAGGUAAUCUCCAAUACCAAGACUUGCCACAAAUCCUCGUCGAUACGAAAACUCUGCUACUAGAACCUGGAGGGAUAAAAAAAACAAGAGUGAGUGGGCCUAACAAUAAAGCUUUAAUAAUGACCUUCUAAACGAUAUAAUCUCUCACUGUAAUACCUUUAUAGUUUCCAGGAAAUCAUACUACGUAUAAGUAUGAAAUCAAAUGUAAAUCAACAGUAUAUCCAGAAAUAUUCCAAAUCACUACAUAUCGGCAAUAGCAUAAUAAAAUUAGGUGCUCAUCAAUCUAUGAUAACCCACGAGUCAGAGUUGCCUAACGCAACCUGUACGACUCAUAAAUCAAUCUAUGAUAACACAUGAGUCUGAGUUGCCUAACGCAACUUGUACAACUCAUAGAUCAAUCUAUGAUAACACAUGAGUCGGAGUUGCCUAAUGCAACUUGUACGACUCAUAGGCAACCUAUACGACAGUGUCGGAGUUGCCUAUUGCAACCUGUACGACAAUGGCGGAGUUGCCUAUUAUUGAAACAUGCACGACAGUGUCAGAGUUGCUUGUACGAUAGUGUCGGAGUUGCCUAUUGCAACCUGUACGACAAUGUCGGAGUUACCUAUUGUUGAAACAUGCACAACAGCGUUAGAGUUUCCUAUUAUUGCAACCUACAUGACAGUGUCAGAGAUGCCUAUUAUUGCAACCUGUACGACAGUGUUAGAGUUACAUAAAACACUAAUAUAGUCAUGCCAUAAUUCAAUCAUUUCAAAUAACACCAUAAACUCACCUGAACUUACUUGUACGUCCCGCAUUCACCUUAGCACUUCAAGGCAUUCACAACAAUUAUAUGUAGGUAAUAUGCAUAUGGUUAUGCCAUGAUGCAAUCUAAAACUCAACCAUAUCAUAGUAUUUUAGAAUAUAUAAAUAUAUAUAUAUGACAUGGCAUAAAACGCAUAAAUCAAUUUAAAAGCGUUUGUGGAACUAUAAAAUAUAUAUAUACGAUAAAAAGGAAAAGAGUCACUCACCUGAAGUUUGCGCUACAAUUCUCUACCACGAAUAUCGAGGCGUCAUGAACCAUCGUUGCCUAGAACAAUUAUCAAAUAACAUCUCAUAAUUUCUAUCGAUAGAACAUGUAUCUUACAUAAAAUACAUCGCUUAGGACGUUCUAGAAUGAUUUGAAACUCAUUGACCAAAAGUCAACCGUCGGUCAAAGAUUAACGGUAGGAUCCACAAUGCUACGUAACUCAAUCCAGAAGAUCUGCACCUCAGAUUUCUGAUCCGUAACUUCCAAAGAUCCACAUUAUGCUUCUAGAACAUCAUAUUAAAAUUUCAUUACGAUCCAACGGUCGGAUCUCCGCUAAUUGCUAGAAUUAAGUGGCGGCCAACGUUUUAUUUUAAGAGCUUACAAAUCCAGUUCGGGAAAAUCUGCAUGUCGGAUUCUCAAUCCGUAAGUUUUCUUGGUCUUCAAAUAUUAUGUUCUACAACACAAUAAAGUUUAGUGACAAUCCAACUGUCGAAUCGUCGAUUAAUUUAAUAUCCAAGUGGCGGUCUCUAUCAAAACUAUAGUCUUACGACGAGAUUUUGUCAAUCGAACCUCACAUAUGAAAUUAGAGUAAACAAAUUAGUCUAGGAAUGGUAGGUGGUGCCUCGGCCCACAAGCCGCUGCACACAGUGGCCAGCCGCUCUGACUCGUCGGAAAAUUAUACUAUUUAAAAAAAUUCCCAAAUUUUACAGGCAUGUAGAGAAAAUCAAAGGGAACAAUUUUUAUACCUAGGCUGAGGUCCAAUUCGGCCAGGAAGUGUUCCAAUUUGUCUCAAACCCGCCGGAAACCCUAUAAAGGGUGUGCUUCGAUUCGUCGAUUCUGAAGCUCCGUCGCCCCAACCAUCAGUUGGUUCAUGUUCCUGGGUGCAAUGGAAGACUAAUGGUAGUGGUAAUUGACAAUAGUGGCUUCAGAAAUGGCAAAUUGCUGUUGUGUACACCAAAAACUCAACGAGCUUGAUCUUGGUGAUACGAGAACCAAAACCCAUCAAAUUUGGGUGGAGAUACAAGCUGGAAGGUCACCGAGCUGUAUACACAUGGUGGAUUGCCUUGAUUCACCAGAAAAACGGCGAGAAGGCCAUCAGAAAACAUGGAGGAAAUGGGUCGAAGGUUGGGUCACGGUUUGCAGGGGUCCGGGUUGGUUCCCCUCCUUCUCAUUCUCCUCUCCUUUCUCUCCUUUCCCCUCUCCUAAUUGGACAGUUCCUUCUUCUUCUCCUGAUUGGGCAAACCACACCUCAUUUCCUCUCCUCCGGUUGGGCAGUAGC
Molecule: long non-coding RNA, 2954 nt
Filed under: Malus domestica (apple)
Lineage: Eukaryota; Viridiplantae; Streptophyta; Magnoliopsida; Rosales; Rosaceae
Description: long non-coding RNA (MDOM_LNC001850)
Source: RNAcentral